AAUAUUAUAGUUUAUUUAAAACAUAAGUCUUGUAAACUUAAAAAGAAUAAUUCUU
RNAcentral lists this transfer RNA (55 nucleotides) under Bothropolys sp. SP-2004. RNAcentral's name for it is "tRNA-Thr". The record is from RNAcentral. Lineage: Eukaryota; Metazoa; Arthropoda; Chilopoda; Lithobiomorpha; Ethopolyidae.